GACGAACGCUGGCGGCGUGCUUAACACAUGCAAGUCGAACGGAAAGGCCUGCUUUCCCUUGUGGAUUGCGGGUACUCGAGUGGCGAACGGGUGAGUAACACGUGAGUGAUCUGCCCCCAACUUGGGUAUAAGCCUGGGAAACUGGGUCUAAUUCCCGAUAGGACUGCAGGGUGGUGCCUGUGGUGGAAAACGAUUUUCUAGUGGUUGGGGAUGAGCUCGCGGCCUAUCAGCUUGUUGGUGGGGUAAUGGCCUACCAAGGCGGCGACGGGUAGCCGGCCGGAGAGGGUGGACGGCCACAUUGGGACUGAGAUACGGCCCAGACUCCUACGGGAGGCAGCAGUGGGGAAUAGUGCACAAUGGGCGGAAGCCUGAUGCAGCGACGCCGCGUGGGGGAUGACGGCCUUCGGGUUGUAAACUCCUUUCGACCGCGAGGAAGCCACCUGGUUGGAAGGGUGGUGACGGUAGUGGUAGAAGAAGCACCGGCUAACUACGUG
This 494-nucleotide ribosomal RNA is filed under the name uncultured bacterium. Its description in RNAcentral is "partial 16S ribosomal RNA". It matches the Rfam family "Bacterial small subunit ribosomal RNA", at positions 28 to 507 of the family's 1533-position model. The record is from RNAcentral.